GAAAUGCGAUAAGUAAUGUGAAUUGCAGAAUUCAGUGAAUCAUCGAAUCUUUGAACGCACAUUGCGCCCGCCAGCACUCUGGCGGGCAUGCCUGUUCGAGCGUCAUUUCAACCCUCAGAACCCCUUGCGGGAUCUGGCGUUGGGGAUUGGCAUCCAGCCAGCCCCGAAAUCUAGCGGCGGUCCCUCCGCGACCUCCCCUGUGCAGUAGCGAUACCUCGCAGCGGGACAGCGGUCUGACCACGACGUAAAACCCCCAACUUCUCAAGGUUGACCUCGAAUCAGGUAGGAAUACCCGCUGAACUUAAGC
This 307-nucleotide unclassified non-coding RNA is filed under the name plant metagenome. RNAcentral's name for it is "partial contains 5.8S ribosomal RNA, internal transcribed spacer 2, and large subunit ribosomal RNA". The stretch from base 1 to 105 matches the Rfam family "5.8S ribosomal RNA", at positions 50 to 154 of the family's 154-position model. The record is from RNAcentral.